This 301-nucleotide ribosomal RNA is filed under the name uncultured bacterium. RNAcentral describes it as "partial 16S ribosomal RNA". It matches the Rfam family "Bacterial small subunit ribosomal RNA", at positions 509 to 807 of the family's 1533-position model. The record is from RNAcentral.
CAGUCGCCGCGGUAAUACGAAGGGUGCAAGCGUUAAUCGGAAUUACUGGGCGUAAAGCAUGCGUAGGUGGUGGUUUAAGUCCGUUGUGAAAGCCCUGGGCUCAACCUGGGAAUGGCAAUGGAAACUGGACGGCUAGAGUGUGUCAGAGGAUGGUGGAAUUCCCGGUGUAGCGGUGAAAUGCGUAGAGAUCGGAAGGAACAUCUGUGGCGAAGGCGACUAUCUGGGCCAACACUGACACUGAGGCACGAAAGCGUGGGGAGCAAACAGGAUUAGAUACCCCCGUAGUCCCUGUCUCUUAUAC